GACGAACGCUGGCGGCGUGCUUAACACAUGCAAGUCGAACGGAAAGGCCCUGCCUUUGUGGGGUGCUCGAGUGGCGAACGGGUGAGUAACACGUGAGUAACCUGCCCUUGACUGUGGGAUAACUUCAGGAAACUGGGGCUAAUACCGGAUAGGAGCUCCUGCUGCAUGGUGGGGGUUGGAAAGUUUCGGCGGUUGGGGAUGGACUCGCGGCUUAUCAGCUUGUUGGGGGGGUAGUGGCUUACCAAGGCUUUGACGGGUAGCCGGCCUGGGAGGGUGACCGGCCACAUUGGGACUGAGAUACGGCCCAGACUCCUACGGGCGGCAGCAGUGGGGAGUAUUGCACAGUGGGCGGAAGCCUGAUGCAGCAACGCCGCGUGCGGGAUGACGGCCUUCGGGUUGUAAACCGCUUUCGCCUGUGACGAAGCGUGAGUGACGGUAAUGGGUAAAGAAGCACCGGCUAACUACGUG
Molecule: ribosomal RNA, 468 nt
Filed under: uncultured bacterium
Lineage: Bacteria
Description: partial 16S ribosomal RNA
Rfam family: Bacterial small subunit ribosomal RNA
Source: RNAcentral